AACAGGGAUUUCUAUGAAAAUAAGCGAUAUUUAAGGGGAAAAACAGGGAUUUCUAUGAAAAUAAGCGAUAUUUUAGGGGAAAAACAGGGAUUUCUAUGAAAAUAAGCGAUAUUUUAGGUUAAAAACAGGGAUUUCUAUGAAAAUAAGCGAUAUUUUAGGGGAAAAACAGGGAUUUCUAUGAAAAUAAGCGAUAUUUUAGGUUAAAAACAGGGAUUUCUAUGAAAAUAAGCGAUAUUUAAGGUUAAAAACAGGGAUUUCUAUGAAAAUAAGCGAUAUUUUAGGGUUAAAAACAGGGAUUUCUAUGAAAAUAAGCGAUAUUUAAGGUUAAAAACAGGGAUUUCUAUGAAAAUAAGCGAUAUUUUAGGGUUAAAAACAGGGAUUUCUAUGAAAAUAAGCGAUAUUUAAGGUUAAAAACAGGGAUUUCUAUGAAAAUAAGCGAUAUUUUAGGGGAAAAGCAGGGAUUUCUAUGAAAAUAAGCAAUAUUUAAGGUUAAAAACAGGGAUUUCUAUGAAAAUAAGCGAUAUUUUAGGGGAAAAACAGGGAUUUCUAUGAAAAUAAGCAAUAUUUAAGGUUAAAAACAGGGAUUUCUAUGAAAAUAAGCGAUAUUUAAGGUUAAAAACAGGGAUUUCUAUGAAAAUAAGCGAUAUUUUAGGGUUAAAAACAGGGAUUUCUAUGAAAAUAAGCGAUAUUUAAGGUUAAAAACAGGGAUUUCUAUGAAAAUAAGCGAUAUUUUAGGGUUAAAAACAGGGAUUUCUAUGAAAAUAAGCGAUAUUUAAGGUUAAAAACAGGGAUUUCUAUGAAAAUAAGCGAUAUUUUAGGGGAAAAACAGGGAUUUCUAUGAAAAUAAGCGAUAUUUUAAGGGAAAAACACGGAUUUCUAUGAAAAUAAGCGAUAUUUAAGGUGAAAAACAGGGAUUUCUAUGAAAAUAAGCGAUAUUUUAGGGGAAAAACAGGGAUUUCUAUGAAAAUAAGCAAUAUUUUAAGGGAAAAACACGGAUUUCUAUGAAAAUAAGCGAUAUUUUAGGGGAAAAACAGGGAUUUCUAUGAAAAUAAGCGAUAUUUUAGGGGAAAAACUGGGAUAUCUAUGAAAAUCAGCGGUAUUUUAGGGGAAAAACAGGGAUUUCGAUGAAAAUAAGCGAUAUUUUAGGGGAACAACAUUGAUUUCCAUGAAAAUAAGCAAUAUUUUAGGGGAAAAACAGGGAUUUCUAUGAAAAUAAGCGAUAUUUAAGGGGAAAAACAGGGAUUUCUAUGAAAAUAAGCGAUAUUUAAGGUUAAAAACAGGGAUUUCUAUGAAAAUAAGCGAUAUUUUAGGGGAAAAACAGGGAUUUCUAUGAAAAUAAGCGAUAUUUAAGGUUAAAAACAGGGAUUUCUAUGAAAAUAAGCGAUAUUUAAGGGGAAAAACAGAGAUUUCUAUGAAAAUAAGCGAUAUUUUAGGGGAAAAACAGGGAUUUCUAGGAAAAUAAGCGAUAUUUAAGGUUAAAAACAGGGAUUUCUAUGAAAAUAAGCGAUAUUUUAGGGGAAAAACAGGGAUUUCUAUGAAAAUAAGCGAUAUUUAAGGUUAAAAACAGGGAUUUCUAUGAAAAUAAGCGAUAUUUAAGGUUAAAAAAAGGGAUUUCCAUGAAAAUAAGCGAUAUUUCAGGUUAAAAACAGGGAUUUCUAUGAAAAUAAGCGAUAUUUUAGGGGAAAAACAGGGAUUUCUAUGAAAAUAAGCGAUAUUUAAGGUUAAAAACAGGGAUUUCUAUGAAAAUAAGCGAUAUUUAAGGUUAAAAACAGGGAUUUCUAUGAAAAUAAGCGAUAUUUUAGGGGAAAAACAGGGAUUUCUAUGAAAAUAAGCGAUAUUUCAGGUUAAAAACAGGGAUUUCUAUGAAAAUAAGCGAUAUUUAAGGUUAAAAACAGGGAUUUCUAUGAAAAUAAGCGAUAUUUAAGGUUGAAAACAGGGAUUUCUAUGAAAAUAAGCGAUAUUUAAGGGGAAAACCAGGGAUUUCUAUGAAAAUAAGCGAUAUUUAAGGUUAAAAACAGGGAUUUCUAUGAAAAUAAGUGAUAUUUUAGGGG
Lagopus muta (rock ptarmigan) is the source of this 2051-nucleotide long non-coding RNA. RefSeq lists it as uncharacterized. The record is from RefSeq and is a predicted model, not a curated record. NCBI's taxonomy places the organism in Eukaryota, Metazoa, Chordata, Aves, Galliformes, Phasianidae. The transcript has 6 exons.